RNAcentral lists this ribosomal RNA (460 nucleotides) under uncultured bacterium. RNAcentral's name for it is "partial 16S ribosomal RNA". It matches the Rfam family "Bacterial small subunit ribosomal RNA", at positions 338 to 795 of the family's 1533-position model. The record is from RNAcentral.
CCUACGGGCGGCAGCAGUGAGGAAUAUUGGUCAAUGGACGAGAGUCUGAACCAGCCAAGUAGCGUGAAGGAUGACUGCCCUAUGGGUUGUAAACUUCUUUUAUAUGGGAAUAAAAUGUUCCACGUGUGGGAUUUUGUAUGUACCAUAUGAAUAAGGAUCGGCUAACUCCGUGCCAGCAGCCGCGGUAAUACGGAGGAUCCGAGCGUUAUCCGGAUUUAUUGGGUUUAAAGGGAGCGUAGGUGGAUUGUUAAGUCAGUUGUGAAAGUUUGCGGCUCAACCGUAGAAUUGCAGUUGAAACUGGCAGUCUUGAGUACAGUAGAGGUGGGCGGAAUUCGUGGUGUAGCGGUGAAAUGCUUAGAUAUCACGAAGAACUCCGAUUGCGAAGGCAGUUCACUGGACUGCAACUGACACUGAGGCUCGAAAGUGUGGGUAUCAAACAGGAUUAGAUACCCUAGUAGUC